This 433-nucleotide ribosomal RNA is filed under the name uncultured bacterium. RNAcentral's name for it is "partial 16S ribosomal RNA". It matches the Rfam family "Bacterial small subunit ribosomal RNA", at positions 29 to 507 of the family's 1533-position model. The record is from RNAcentral.
AACGAACGCUGGCGGCAUGCCUAACACAUGCAAGUCGAUCGAGACCUUCGGGUCUAUUGGCGCACGGGUGCGUAACGCGUGGGAACCAGCCCUUAGGUUCGGAAUAACUCCCCGAAAGGGAUCUUAAUAACGGAUAAUGUCUUAGGACAAAAGAUUUAUCGCCGUUGGAUGGGGCCUCGUUGGAUUAGCUAGUUGGUAGGGUAAAAGCCUACCAAGGCGACGAUCCAUAGCUGGUCUGGGAAGAUGAUCAGCCACACUGGGAAUGAGACACGGCCUAGACUCGUACGGGAGGGAGCAGUGGGGAGUAUUGGACAAUGGGCGAAGGUCUAAUCCAGCAAUGCCGCGUGAGUGAUGAAGGCCUUAGUGUUGUAAAGCUCUUUUACCCGGGAUGAUAAUGACAGUACCGGGAGAAUAAGCUCCGGCUAACUCCGUG